This 699-nucleotide ribosomal RNA is filed under the name uncultured bacterium. RNAcentral describes it as "bacterial SSU rRNA". It matches the Rfam family "Bacterial small subunit ribosomal RNA", at positions 8 to 683 of the family's 1533-position model. The record is from RNAcentral.
AGAGUUUGAUCCUGGCUCAGAACGAACGCUGGCGGCGUGCCUAACACAUGCAAGUCGCACGAGAAAGGGGACUUCGGUCCCUGAGUAGAGUGGCAGACGGGUGAGUAACACGUGGGUAACCUGCCCCUGAGUGGGGAAUAACCCAGGGAAACUUGGGCUAAUACCGCAUAAUAUCGCUUUUUCCCUGGAAAGAGCGAUUAAAGGUGGGGAUCGAAAGACCUACCGCUUAGGGAGGGGCCCGCGUCUGAUUAGCUUGUUGGUGGGGUAAUGGCCUACCAAGGCUUCGAUCAGUAGCCGGCCUGAGAGGGUGAUCGGCCACACUGGAACUGAGACACGGUCCAGACUCCUACGGGAGGCAGCAGUGAGGAAUCUUGCGCAAUGGGCGAAAGCCUGACGCAGCAACGCCGCGUGGAUGAUGAAGGCCUUCGGGUCGUAAAAUCCUGUCAGGAGGGAAGAAAUGGUAGCGGGCCAACACCCCGUUAUUUUGACUGUACCUCCAGAGGAAGCCCCGGCUAACUCCGUGCCAGCAGCCGCGGUAAUACGGGGGGGGCCAGCGUUGUUCGGAAUUAUUGGGCGUAAAGGGCACGCAGGUGGUCGUGCAAGUCAGUUGUGAAAUCCCUUGGCUUACCCAAGGAACUGCUUCUGAUACUGCAUGACUUGAGUCCGGGAGAGGAGAGCGGAAUUCCCAGUGUUACGGUG